This 519-nucleotide ribosomal RNA is filed under the name uncultured Glomeraceae. Its description in RNAcentral is "SSU rRNA". It matches the Rfam family "Eukaryotic small subunit ribosomal RNA", at positions 569 to 1092 of the family's 1831-position model. Lineage: Eukaryota; Fungi; Glomeromycota; Glomeromycetes; Glomerales; Glomeraceae. The record is from RNAcentral.
AGCAGCCGCGGUAAUUCCAGCUCCAAUAGCGUAUAUUAAAGUUGCUGCAGUUAAAAAGCUCGUAGUUGAAUUUCGGGAUCAAUAUGUUGGUCGUGCCUCGGUACGUACUGGCUUAUUGGUUUCUCCCUUCUGACGAACCAUGAUGUCAUUUAUUUGGUGUUAUGGGGAAUCAGAACUGUUACUUUGAAAAAAUUAGAGUGUUUAAAGCAGGCUCACGCUUGAAUACAUUAGCAUGGAAUAAUGAAAUAGGACGUUUGAUUCUAUUUUGUUGGUUUCUAGGAUCGACGUAAUGAUUAAUAGGGAUAGUUGGGGGCAUUAGUAUUCAAUUGUCAGAGGUGAAAUUCUUGGAUUUAUUGAAGACUAACUACUGCGAAAGCAUUUGCCAAGGAUGUUUUCAUUAAUCAAGAACGAAAGUUAGGGAUCGAAGACGAUCAGAUACCGUCGUAGUCUUAACCAUAAACUAUGCCGACUAGGGAUCGGAUGAUGUUGAUUUUUUAAUGACUCAUUUGGCGCCUUACA